Molecule: long non-coding RNA, 855 nt
Organism: Helianthus annuus (common sunflower)
Lineage: Eukaryota; Viridiplantae; Streptophyta; Magnoliopsida; Asterales; Asteraceae
Exons: 3
Source: RefSeq, a predicted model, not a curated record
AAAAUACCGAUAAGGGUCCAAGACUCCACCGGUACCGUUUCGCUUACACUUUUUGAUCAAGACGCUUCAAAAAUUAUAAGAAAACAUGCAAAGGAUCUGGUUGAAAGACAAGAACAGGUUUCAUUCUUUAAACCAAUUUUUUUAAAAUGUUUUUCAUUUAAUAUUGUGUAACUUCCAUACAAAAAUUUUGACAUUUGUAUAACAGUCAUCUGAGUUUGAAGAGUACCCGGCUGAGUUUAAUGAUUUGAUUGGAAAAACGUUUGCCUUUCACAUCAAAAUCUCUUAAUAUAAUAUUAAUGAGAAGAAAGAGUAUUAUGGCAUUGACAAACUAACCAAUGAUUCUGACAUUCUUUCCAAACUUGAGAAGAAGAGAAAGAAUAUUGAUCAACAUGAUGAGACCGAUUCAAUUGGUGGUUCCAUGUCGGAAGUACAAUCAAACAACACUAUUGGUGUGAAGGAUAUGGUGUCUUGUACUGGGGAUAACACCACUCCAGUGUCAAAUGCGCACGAAGUUGUUGCAAAGCCAUCUUCUUUUGAGCUUAAACGUAAUCUUGAAGAGAUUUAUGAUCCUGAAGAUGUUUCAGGUUUUUCAUCUACUAAAGCACGUGCCGUUGACGAUAAUAAUGAUGCCAAUGCAGCUGGGAAGUUUAAGUUGUUGGUUCCAAAACGUGAAAAAUAAUUUCAAGCUUCGUAGUCCAUGACCAAUUUUUUGUUUUGUUUCGUACUUUGAAUAUUUUCUAUUUGUUGCAUUGUUGGUGACUUUUGUUUUUCUCCAUUUCUUUUUAGACGAUUUGUUGAUUGUGCGAUGUUUUUAAUUGGUCAAUGGUUUAUUUAAUGUGUUUAGUUAUGUUUUAA